Small nucleolar RNA from Phyllostomus discolor (pale spear-nosed bat), 131 nucleotides. RefSeq annotates it as small nucleolar RNA SNORA44. NCBI's taxonomy places the organism in Eukaryota, Metazoa, Chordata, Mammalia, Chiroptera, Phyllostomidae. The transcript has a single exon. The record is from RefSeq and is a predicted model, not a curated record.
CGGCAUGAUACCGAGGGCUGUGGCUGGGUGCAGCCACGGGAUCUCCAGCUGCAGCACAUAAGAGCAAGCUGGAGAGACCCACAGCGCAGGGCAGCUGAUUCCUGCAGCUGCCGCUCGCCUUCCUCGUAACA